RNAcentral lists this ribosomal RNA (1145 nucleotides) under Salmonella enterica subsp. enterica serovar Panama. RNAcentral describes it as "partial 23S ribosomal RNA". It matches the Rfam family "Bacterial large subunit ribosomal RNA", at positions 590 to 1735 of the family's 2925-position model. The record is from RNAcentral. Lineage: Bacteria; Pseudomonadati; Pseudomonadota; Gammaproteobacteria; Enterobacterales; Enterobacteriaceae.
GGGGUGACUGCGUACCUUUUGUAUAAUGGGUCAGCGACUUAUAUUCUGUAGCAAGGUUAACCGAAUAGGGGAGCCGGAGGGAAACCGAGUCUUAACCGGGCGUUAAGUUGCAGGGUAUAGACCCGAAACCCGGUGAUCUAGCCAUGGGCAGGUUGAAGGUUGGGUAACACUAACUGGAGGACCGAACCGACUAAUGUUGAAAAAUUAGCGGAUGACCUGUGGCUGGGGGUGAAAGGCCAAUCAAACCGGGAGAUAGCUGGUUCUCCCCGAAAGCUAUUUAGGUAGCGCCUCGUGAAUUCAUCUCCGGGGGUAGAGCACUGUUUCGGCUAGGGGGCCAUCCCGGCUUACCAACCCGAUGCAAACUGCGAAUACCGGAGAAUGUUAUCACGGGAGACACACGGCGGGUGCUAACGUCCGUCGUGAAGAGGGAAACAACCCAGACCGCCAGCUAAGGUCCCAAAGUCAUGGUUAAGUGGGAAACGAUGUGGGAAGGCCCAGACAGCCAGGAUGUUGGCUUAGAAGCAGCCAUCAUUUAAAGAAAGCGUAAUAGCUCACUGGUCGAGUCGGCCUGCGCGGAAGAUGUAACGGGGCUAAACCAUGCACCGAAGCUGCGGCAGCGACACUCAGGUGUUGUUGGGUAGGGGAGCGUUCUGUAAGCCUGCGAAGGUGGCCUGUGAGGGUUGCUGGAGGUAUCAGAAGUGCGAAUGCUGACAUAAGUAACGAUAAAGCGGGUGAAAAGCCCGCUCGCCGGAAGACCAAGGGUUCCUGUCCAACGUUAAUCGGGGCAGGGUGAGUCGACCCCUAAGGCGAGGCCGAAAGGCGUAGUCGAUGGGAAACGGGUUAAUAUUCCCGUACUUGGUGUUACUGCGAAGGGGGGACGGAGAAGGCUAUGUUGGCCGGGCGACGGUUGUCCCGGUUUAAGCGUGUAGGUGUGUGUUCCAGGUAAAUCCGGUUCACUUUAACACUGAGGCGUGACGACGAGGCACUACGGUGCUGAAGCAACAAAUGCCCUGCUUCCAGGAAAAGCCUCUAAGCAUCAGGUAACAUCAAAUCGUACCCCAAACCGACACAGGUGGUCAGGUAGAGAAUACCAAGGCGCUUGAGAGAACUCGGGUGAAGGAACUAGGCAAAAUGGUGCCGUAACU